UGCAGUCGGACGGCAGCACAGAGAAGCUUGCUUCUUGGGUGGCGAGUGGCGAACGGGUGAGUAACAUAUCGGAACGUACCGAGCAGUGGGGGAUAACUAAUCGAAAGAUUAGCUAAUACCGCAUAUAUUCUGAGGAAGAAAGCAGGGGACCAUUUGGCCUUGCGCUGUUUGAGCGGCCGAUAUCUGAUUAGCUAGUUGGUGGGGUAAAGGCCUACCAAGGCGACGAUCAGUAGCGGGUCUGAGAGGAUGAUCCGCCACACUGGGACUGAGACACGGCCCAGACUCCUACGGGAGGCAGCAGUGGGGAAUUUUGGACAAUGGGCGCAAGCCUGAUCCAGCCAUGCCGCGUGUCUGAAGAAGGCCUUCGGGUUGUAAAGGACUUUUGUCAGGGAAGAAAAGGGCGGGGUUAAUACCCCUGUCUGAUGACGGUACCUGAAGAAUAAGCACCGGCUAACUACGUGCCAGCAGCCGCGGUAAUACGUAGGGUGCGAGCGUUAAUCGGAAUUACUGGGCGUAAAGC
Molecule: ribosomal RNA, 520 nt
Filed under: uncultured Neisseria sp.
Lineage: Bacteria; Pseudomonadati; Pseudomonadota; Betaproteobacteria; Neisseriales; Neisseriaceae
Description: bacterial SSU rRNA
Rfam family: Bacterial small subunit ribosomal RNA
Source: RNAcentral